RNAcentral lists this ribosomal RNA (257 nucleotides) under uncultured bacterium. RNAcentral's name for it is "partial 16S ribosomal RNA". It matches the Rfam family "Bacterial small subunit ribosomal RNA", at positions 524 to 779 of the family's 1533-position model. The record is from RNAcentral.
UACGUAGGGUGCGAGCGUUAAUCGGAAUUACUGGGCGUAAAGUGUGCGCAGGCGGCAAAGCAAGUCGAGUGUGAAAGCCCCGGGCUUAACUUGGGAAUUGCGCUCGAAACUACUUUGCUGGAGUGUGGCAGAGGGUGGUGGAAUUUCCUGUGUAGCGGUGAAAUGCGUAGAUAUAGGAAGGAACACCAGUGGCGAAGGCGGCUCACUGGCCCGGUACUGACGCUGAGGUGCGAAAGCGGAGGGGAGCAAACUGGGAU